RNAcentral lists this long non-coding RNA (500 nucleotides) under Carica papaya (papaya). Its description in RNAcentral is "long non-coding RNA (CPAP_LNC004413)". The record is from RNAcentral. Lineage: Eukaryota; Viridiplantae; Streptophyta; Magnoliopsida; Brassicales; Caricaceae.
CAUUAUAAUAUCAUGAAAUCAUACGCGCCCUGUAACAUAACACAUGUCAUACUUUUAAUUUGUCAAUCAUCAAGUAACAAAUUUCCUCUUUUACCAGCCUACCAGUAUCCAUGGAGAUCCAUAGGGGUUCUUGUCACACGUGAACCAUUCAUGUUAAUAACUUAAUUUCAGGAUCGUCCCCAUACCCCAUCCGGUAUGGGCGCCAAAACAAUAAACCUCAAUACUCCGUCCGGUAUGAGGAUGAAGCGGGCCGUCCCCAUACCUCGUCCGGUAUGAGCGUCAAAAUAUUUAAAGUCUCCAUACCCCGUCCGAUAUGAGAUACAACAUUCCCAGUAGGGUCCCCUAUAGACCCGGUCUGUCCACCAUCUCCCAGGACAUCUAGUGAGCCUGUUAACUUAUCCAUUUAUCAACUCAAUCCCAUUCUUAUUUGUUCUUAGUCUCAAUUACCCAAUCAAACAUGAAUACAUAAACCAGUAACGAACACCAAACAAGGCAAACAU